UCCCUGAUAGCUCAGUUGGUAAAGAAUCUGCCUGCAAUGCAGGAGACCCUGGUUCAAUUCCUGGCUUGGGAA
Molecule: transfer RNA, 72 nt
Filed under: Muntiacus reevesi (Reeves' muntjac)
Lineage: Eukaryota; Metazoa; Chordata; Mammalia; Artiodactyla; Cervidae
Also listed under: 1 other name
Rfam family: tRNA
About the family: Transfer RNA (tRNA) molecules are approximately 80 nucleotides in length. Their secondary structure includes four short double-helical elements and three loops (D, anti-codon, and T loops).
Source: Rfam by way of RNAcentral